CCUACGGGGGGCACCAGUGGGGAAUAUUGGACAAUGGGCGAAAGCCUGAUCCAGCAAUGCCGCGUGUGUGAAGAAGGUCUUCGGAUUGUAAAGCACUUUCGACGGGGACGAUGAUGACGGUACCCGUAGAAGAAGCCCCGGCUAACUUCGUGCCAGCAGCCGCGGUAAUACGAAGGGGGCUAGCGUUGCUCGGAAUGACUGGGCGUAAAGGGCGCGUAGGCGGUCUAUGCAGUCAGAUGUGAAAUCCCCGAGCGUAACCUGGGAACUGCAUUUGAGAAGCAUAGACUAGAGGUCGAGAGAGGGUUGUGGAAUUCCCAGUGUAGAGGUGAAAUUCGUAGAUAUUGGGAAGAACGCCGGUGGCGAAGGCGGCAACCUGGCUCGAUACUGACGCUGAGGCGCGAAAGCGUGGGGAGCAAACAGGAUUAGAUACCCUUGUAGUC
RNAcentral lists this ribosomal RNA (440 nucleotides) under uncultured bacterium. RNAcentral's name for it is "bacterial SSU rRNA". It matches the Rfam family "Bacterial small subunit ribosomal RNA", at positions 338 to 795 of the family's 1533-position model. The record is from RNAcentral.